RNAcentral lists this ribosomal RNA (269 nucleotides) under uncultured prokaryote. RNAcentral's name for it is "partial 16S ribosomal RNA". It matches the Rfam family "Bacterial small subunit ribosomal RNA", at positions 524 to 792 of the family's 1533-position model. The record is from RNAcentral.
UACGUAGGUGACAAGCGUUGUCCGGAAUUAUUGGGCGUAAAGGGAGCGCAGGCGGUUGGAAUAGUCUGAUGUGAAAGCCCACGGCUUAACCGUGGAGGGUCAUUGGAAACUGGUCGACUUGAGUGCAGAAGAGGGAAGUGGAAUUCCAUGUGUAGCGGUGAAAUGCGUAGAGAUAUGGAGGAACACCAGUGGCGAAGGCGGCUUCCUGGUCUGUAACUGACACUGAGGCGCGAAAGCGUGGGGAGCAAACAGGAUUAGAUACCCCUGUA